RNAcentral lists this ribosomal RNA (428 nucleotides) under uncultured bacterium. Its description in RNAcentral is "bacterial SSU rRNA". It matches the Rfam family "Bacterial small subunit ribosomal RNA", at positions 354 to 796 of the family's 1533-position model. The record is from RNAcentral.
GUCGAGAAUCUUCCGCAAUGGGCGCAAGCCUGACGGAGCGAUGCCGCGUGAGGGAUGAAGGCCUUCGGGUUGUAAACCUCUGUCACCCGGGACGAAGAAAGUGACGGUACCGGGAGAGGAAGUCACGGCUAACUACGUGCCAGCAGCCGCGGUAAUACGUAGGUGGCGAGCGUUAUUCGGAUUCACUGGGCGUAAAGGGUCCGCAGGGGGUUUGCCAAGUCUGGUGUGAAAUCCCAUGGCUCAACUGUGGAACUGCAUUGGAUACUGGUGAACUAGAGUGCACGAGGGGUGAGCGGAAUUCCUGGUGUAGCGGUGGAAUGCGUAGAUAUCAGGAAGAACACCGAUGGCGAAGGCGGCUCACUGGCGUGCUACUGACCCUGAGGGACGAAAGCGUGGGGAGCAAACAGGAUUAGAAACCCGAGUAGUCC